UAGGACGAACGCUGGCGGCGUGCCUAACACAUGCAAGUCGAACGGAGUUACUGUUUAGAUCCCUUCGGGGUGACGAACUUUAACUUAGUGGCGGACGGGUGAGUAACGCGUGAGUAACCUGCCUCUGAGAGGGGAAUAACGUUCUGAAAAGAUCGCUAAUACCGCAUAACAUAUUGAAGUCGCAUGGCUUUGAUAUCAAAGAUUUUAUCGCUCGGAGAUGGACUCGCGUCCGAUUAGCUUGUUGGCGGGGUAACGGCCCACCAAGGCGACGAUCGGUAGCCGGACUGAGAGGUUGAUCGGCCACAUUGGGACUGAGACACGGCCCAGACUCCUACGGGAGGCAGCAGUGGGGGAUAUUGCGCAAUGGGGGGCCAACCCUGACGCAGCAACGCCGCGUGAAGGAAGACGGUUUUCGGAUUGUAAACUUCUUUUGUCAGGGACGAAAUUUGACGGUACCUGACGAAUAAGCUCCGGCUAACUACGUGCCAGCCGCCGC
Molecule: ribosomal RNA, 496 nt
Filed under: uncultured bacterium
Lineage: Bacteria
Description: bacterial SSU rRNA
Rfam family: Bacterial small subunit ribosomal RNA
Source: RNAcentral